Molecule: non-coding RNA, 850 nt
Organism: Petromyzon marinus (sea lamprey)
Lineage: Eukaryota; Metazoa; Chordata; Hyperoartia; Petromyzontiformes; Petromyzontidae
Source: RefSeq, a predicted model, not a curated record
CACACGAAUUGUAAACACCAACAACAACAAAUCGUGACGUCUUUGUGUUUCUACGUAAGAUUCUGAGGUAAAAUAAUAAUUACCUUAUACACACGAAUUGUAAACAACAAAUCGUGACGUCUUUGUGUUUCUACGUAAGAUUCUGAGGUAAAAUAAUUAUUACCUUAUACACACAAAUUGUAAACAACAACAAAUCGUGACGUCUUUGUGUUUCUACGUAAGGUUCUGAGGUAAAAUAAUAAUUACCUUAUACACACGAAUUGUAAACAACAACAAAUCGUGACGUGAUUGUGUUUCUACGUAAGGUUCUGAGGUAAAAUAAUAAUUACCUUAUACACACGAAUUGUAAACAACAACAAAUCGUGACGUCUUUGUGUUUCUACGUAAGAUUCUGAGGUAAAAUAAUAAUUACCUUAUACACACGAAUUGUAAACAACAACAAAUCGUGACGUCUUUGUUUCUACGUAAGGUUCCGAGGUAAAAUAAUAAUUACCUUAUACACACGAAUUGUAAACAACAAAUCGUGACGUCUUUGUGUUUCUACGUAAGAUUCUGAGGUAAAAUAAUUAUUACCUUAUACACACAAAUUGUAAACAACAACAAAUCGUGACGUCUUUGUGUUUCUACGUAAGGUUCUGAGGUAAAAUAAUAAUUACCUUAUACACACGAAUUGUAAACAACAACAAAUCGUGACGUGAUUGUGUUUCUACGUAAGGUUCUGAGGUAAAAUAAUAAUUACCUUAUACACACGAAUUGUAAACAACAACAAAUCGUGACGUCUUUGUGUUUCUACGUAAGAUUCUGAGGUAAAAUAAUAAUUACCUUAUACACACGAAUUGUAAACAACAAA